Molecule: ribosomal RNA, 415 nt
Filed under: uncultured bacterium
Lineage: Bacteria
Description: bacterial SSU rRNA
Rfam family: Bacterial small subunit ribosomal RNA
Source: RNAcentral
AACCUACCUUAAAGUGGAGGACAGUCCUGGGAAACUGGGUUUAAUACUCCAUGUGCUUAUAAGUAAAGAUGCCUUCGGGUGUCGCUUUAAGAUGGGCUCGCGUUCUAUCAGCUAGUUGGUGAGGUAAAGGCUCACCAAGGCGACGACGGAUAGCUGGUCUUAGAGGAUGACCAGCCACACUGGAACUGAGACACGGUCCAGACACCUACGGGUGGCAGCAGUCGAGAAUAAUUCACAAUGGACGAAAGUCUGAUGGUGCAACGCCGCGUGGAGGAUGACGGUUUUCGGAUUGUAAACUCCUGUCAUCGGGGAGUAAGUCUUAUGCUUUAAUAGAGUGCUAGAUUGAGAGUACCCGAAGAGGAAGGGACGGCUAACUUCGUGCCAGCAGCCGCGGUAAUACGAAGGUCCCAAGCGU